RNAcentral lists this ribosomal RNA (410 nucleotides) under uncultured Flavobacteriia bacterium. RNAcentral describes it as "bacterial SSU rRNA". It matches the Rfam family "Bacterial small subunit ribosomal RNA", at positions 370 to 779 of the family's 1533-position model. The record is from RNAcentral. Lineage: Bacteria; Pseudomonadati; Bacteroidota; Flavobacteriia.
AAUGGACGAAAGUCUGAACCAGCCAUGCCGCGUGCAGGAUGACUGCCUAUGGGUUGUAAACUGCUUUUAUAUAGGAAGAAAACUUUCUCGUGAGAAAGCUUGACGGUACUAUAAGAAUAAGGAUCGGCUAACUCCGUGCCAGCGGCCGCGGUAAUACGGAGGAUCCAAGCGUUAUCCGGAAUCAUUGGGUUUAAAGGGUCCGUAGGUGGACAAAUAAGUCAGAGGUGAAAUCCUGCAGCUCAACUGUAGAACUGCCUUUGAUACUGUUUGUCUUGAGUUAUUAUGAAGUGGUUAGAAUGUGUAGUGUAGCGGUGAAAUGCAUAGAUAUUACACAGAAUACCGAUUGCGAAGGCAGAUCACUAAUAAUCAACUGACACUGAUGGACGAAAGCGUGGGUAGCGAACAGGAUU